CACGUUUAUUCUGCGUGUCGUACGAGACGCGACGACAAUUCUCACCUCGUUGUCACGCGACUCUUGUCGCUCGAUUCUGAUUGUCGUCUCGAGUGAGGUGAGAGCUUCAUUUUAGAUGUGAGAAACAAAAUGAACAAAAACAAAUGUGGUGUUCAUUUGUAGAACUGUCAAACCGGCGGUGCAUCAAGAAUGCGCUUCGAUUACGGCUUAUUUGAAAAGCAGCAUUUUGCUUUUAUUUUUGAUUAAAUAUUUUUUCAUAUUUUCACGUAAUAAAUACGAAAUGUUAUCCGUAUAAAGAAAAGUUAUAUGGGUUUCAAUAAUUGUGAGGUACUUCACAACUUCCAAAGUGAGUGUUUUCUCAUAAUUUUGGUGGCGCAAACCUUUCGGACGUUUGGCCCUUAUUUAAAAUUAUUCGUUUGCCUUGUGUUGCUGCUUCCAAGAAACUUCCGCAAAAUUUUGUUUUUGCUCACGGAUAGUUUGUUUCAUGGGAAUCUCUUAGAAUUACAUACUAGUGCCGGAUGUUCCGGCCCGGAACCCGCAUGCUGGCUGUGGCAGAAGUUUGAUGACGGGGACUGUUAUUUUGAGAUUUCAGCGGCGGUUUCGGCGACGGUCGUGCAGCAGAAGUAGUGAAGGUGUAUCGUACCGUAUAGACGGAACCAUUGGAUGAAGUUGUCAACACCCAGUUUUGCUACCUUCCGGUCGUACCGGUUUGGAGCUUCCAACUGGUAGCAAGAGCUUCCAAGGACUGCUGCGAAAUGGAUUUUCUUCGGUGGAGUCUUGGACUACGUCAUACAAGUGGACGUUGGAGCUGCCGUUGGGCUAAAUUAUGAAUUGAAAUUGUUGUGGACACAAAAGGACCAAGUACUAAAAAGUGUAAAUGUUUAAGACCAUAUAAGACAAAGCAUAAUAAAAGUAUUCCAGGA
Long non-coding RNA from Aedes albopictus (Asian tiger mosquito), 923 nucleotides. RefSeq lists it as uncharacterized. The transcript has 2 exons. Lineage: Eukaryota; Metazoa; Arthropoda; Insecta; Diptera; Culicidae. The record is from RefSeq and is a predicted model, not a curated record.